RNAcentral lists this ribosomal RNA (649 nucleotides) under Rhodotorula pacifica. Its description in RNAcentral is "eukaryotic LSU rRNA". It matches the Rfam family "Eukaryotic large subunit ribosomal RNA", at positions 1 to 663 of the family's 3401-position model. The record is from RNAcentral. Lineage: Eukaryota; Fungi; Basidiomycota; Microbotryomycetes; Sporidiobolales; Sporidiobolaceae.
AUUAGAUCUCAAAUCAGGUAGGACUACCCGCUGAACUUAAGCAUAUCAAUAAGCGGAGGAAAAGAAACUAACAAGGAUUCCCCUAGUAGCGGCGAGCGAAGCGGGAAGAGCUCAAAUUUAUAAUCUGGCACCUUCGGUGUCCGAGUUGUAAUCUCUAGAAAUGUUUUCCGCGUUGGACCGCACACAAGUCUGUUGGAAUACAGCGGCAUAGUGGUGAGACCCCCGUAUAUGGUGCGGACGCCCAGCGCUUUGUGAUACAUUUUCGAAGAGUCGAGUUGUUUGGGAAUGCAGCUCAAAUUGGGUGGUAAAUUCCAUCUAAAGCUAAAUAUUGGCGAGAGACCGAUAGCGAACAAGUACCGUGAGGGAAAGAUGAAAAGCACUUUGGAAAGAGAGUUAACAGUACGUGAAAUUGUUGGAAGGGAAACGCUUGAAGUCAGACUUGCUUGCCGAGCAAUCGGUUUGCAGGCCAGCAUCAGUUUUUCGGGGUGGAUAAUGGUAGAGAGAAGGUAGCAGUUUCGGCUGUGUUAUAGCUCUUUACUGGAUACACCCUGGGGGACUGAGGAACGCAGUGUGCCUUUGGCGGGGGUUUCGACCUCUUCACACUUAGGAUGCUGGUGGAAUGGCUUUAAACGACCCGUCUUGAAACACG